Equus caballus (horse) is the source of this 1292-nucleotide non-coding RNA. NCBI's taxonomy places the organism in Eukaryota, Metazoa, Chordata, Mammalia, Perissodactyla, Equidae. The record is from the annotation of a RefSeq genome assembly.
GGCAACAUGAAAGGGAGGCCCUCUCACAUCAUGAUAUUUUUUGAAGCACUUUGGACUAGGGAAAAGGGCAUGAGAUUCAGAAUGGGAAACUGAAAUGCCAGGUUCCGUUCUGCCAAUCCUGGCUAUGUGGCCUUAGGCACAUCAUCAACGUAACAGCCUUCGAUUUCCUCACGUGAAAUAAAGGAUUUGGACUGGUGAGCCCAAAGAACUCUUCAGGCUCUAAUUUUAUCUGGAAAAACGUAGUCUCUGGAAACUUGUGGAGGAUAAUUUUUGAGUAUCUACUAUAAACUACAGGCCUGUAUAUUUUGGAAAAUUGGUUACUGAGACUAAUAAGACUAAGUGCCUGAUCUCAGGAGCACCAAGUCCAGUUUGGAAAAGAGGACACGGAUGGUUCUGAUAUGAUGCAGUAAUGACAGUGAUAGACGUGUGUACAAGCCAGUGGCAGGAUCUUGCAGGGCAGGUUGUCUUGCUUCACACACGAGACAAAAUUUUCUAGAACAUUCCACCCAAGGAUCAAGAAAAUAGAGGAACAGCCCUCUCAUCUUUGGUGUAUUCCCAAACAAAACCUGCUGCUGUUUCUCCCCCAGCCAUGCUGUCUGCUUCCUGCUCGGGACUUGUGCUCUUGUUGAUAUUGAGAGGGACCAAUGGAGACUCAGUGACCCAGACAGAAGGCCCUAUUGUUCUCCUGGAGGGGACUCGUCUGACCCUGAACUGCACCUACCAGAGCAUCUAUUCAGUUUCCCUCUUCUGGUAUGUCCAGUAUCAAAACAAAGAGCCUGAGCUCCUCCUGAAAAGCUCAUCAGAAAACCAGGAGGUGGAUAACAGAGGUUUUCACACCAAGCUUGUUACGAGUGACAGCUCCUUCCACCUGCAGAAACCCUCAGUGCAAAUGUCAGACUCAGCCGUGUACUACUGCGCUCUGAGAGACACAGUGAGAGGGACUCAAGGGGAGCUGAGCACAAACCCAGAGGGUGCAGGUGGGUCUGGCUGUGGCAGCCCUGGCACCCUUCCUGUUCUGGAGGCUUCCUCAAAGUGCUUCCAGCUCUGAUGCCUCAGAGCCAAGGAGCCUUGGAAUUCUUGGAUGAGUCUGCAGAGAGGAAUUAGGGGAGGGUCAGUGUAAAGGGGAAACUAAGCCUGUUCUCCAGAAACGCCUCUGUUUUCAGCCCAGCCUCUUUCACCUAGAUGGUCUAUAAUUUCUGGAAAGUGACAUUAACUCUGCUUCACGACAGUUCAGUUCGUAUAUGUUCAAAUAUUUCACCACCUAUUAAUAAAAAUUCCCAGAGCAAACAGUU